This 273-nucleotide ribosomal RNA is filed under the name uncultured bacterium. RNAcentral's name for it is "partial 16S ribosomal RNA". It matches the Rfam family "Bacterial small subunit ribosomal RNA", at positions 80 to 353 of the family's 1533-position model. The record is from RNAcentral.
AACCGGAGAUGGCGACCGGCGCACGGGUGAGUAACACGUAUCCAACCUGCCGAUAACUCGGGGAUAGCCUUUCGAAAGAAAGAUUAAUACCCGAUGGCAUAAUAGAACCGCAUGGUUUGAUUAUUAAAGAAUUUCGGUUAUCGAUGGGAUGCGUUCCAUUAGGCAGUUGGUGGGGUAACGGCCCACCAAACCUUCGAUGGAUAGGGGUUCUGAGAGGAAGGUCCCCCACAUUGGAACUGAGACACGGUCCAAACUCCUACGGGAGGCAGCAUG